ACUUUGUAGGGUAAAUACGGCAACUCUCAUUUAAUCGGUUAGUCGAACCACCGAAAUGCAUCCCUUCUCGCCAUUCUACGUGUAUUUACUGUGUAUGACAACAAAGGUUUUAGAAAAUCCUUCAUUUCAGCCACAAAUCAUUGCAGUAUCUGAGAAUCAUUCAGAGUUAAGACUCGGAGAAAUCACGAAAUUGUAUGAAGAGCAAAGACCACAAGGACAGGGGAUUUCACCCACGGUCACAGAGUUUUGCAUGAGUAGAGACAAGCGUUCAUCCAACACUGAAAGGUCUUUAGUGGGAAAUAGUCAAACUAAGCAAUCAGUGUCUUAUGGGGAAGUGAGGGGCUGCCACGGGCAGGGAAAGUCAUAAAUCGGGGUCUGAUGGUGAGAAGUGAGGGUAUUCGUUCGGCUUCUGUGGACUGCACACACCUGUGCUAUCGCAAUUAACUAUUUCCACAGUUAUUUUUCCAUGUCUCUAAUUACUCCUUCAAUACUUGUUUUCUGUCCUUAGGAAUCACAGUGAAGCUUCAAGUCACUGUGCUUUGGAAAACUUAAAGCCUGAGAUGUACUGAGGAGUUCCCACUCUCUGCCACGGUCCCCAUCCUACUCCAUCCUGCCACCACCACUCAGCUUCUGGGGAAAUGGUCUUUGGUCAUAUACGAGGAAAAAGGGGUUUGGAGCAAGACAGUGGCCCAAGCUCCUGGGCCAGAGAGACAAGAGAGGAUGAGUGAGGCCAGGGAGGCCUUUGGUUGGGAUGACAGAAAAACUGCAAAGUGACUGGAAUGGAGAGAAAAGGCCUGGACAUUGGUUCUUGUCAUCUGAUUUCAGACACUAGCACAAAGUCUGCGGGUUGCUAAGUGGAUCGCCCUGGUGGCUUUCUCUGUAUUGCAACGGCUUAAUAUGAGGCUCCGUCGCCAGUGAGCAAGAUCCAGAUGUGUGAGAAUCUGGGGGGUCCUGUGAGAUUCACCUGCAUAGACCCACAGCCACAUUGCAGCAGCCGGAUGGGUAAAGCUGACGCUUUGGAACAGAGAUUUCAUGGCCCUGAGUCAGUGAAAUUGUGUGCUGUUUCAGUGUGAACAUCACUUCCUCCGGAAGGUCAGUCUGGGCCUCCAGUCAGGUGUCUCCCUAGGAUCCAGGUACUUAUUUUGCAACA
Otolemur garnettii (small-eared galago) is the source of this 1150-nucleotide long non-coding RNA. RefSeq lists it as uncharacterized. The record is from RefSeq and is a predicted model, not a curated record. The transcript has 4 exons. NCBI's taxonomy places the organism in Eukaryota, Metazoa, Chordata, Mammalia, Primates, Galagidae.